UAUCACGGAGAGUGGUCCAAGAUGAGCCUU
RNAcentral lists this non-coding RNA (30 nucleotides) under Mus musculus (house mouse). The record is from RNAcentral. Lineage: Eukaryota; Metazoa; Chordata; Mammalia; Rodentia; Muridae.